UGCUCAAUGAUUUUAUUAAUUAAAUAGCCGCAGUAUUUUGACUGUGCGAAGGUAGCAUAAUCAUUUGUCUUUUAAUUAAAGGCUUGUAUGAAUGGUUGGAUAAAGGAAUAACUUUCUUUAUAUUAAAUGUUGAAUUUAAUAUUUUAGUUAAAAAGCUUAAAUGUUAAAAAGGGACGAGAAGACCCUAUAGAAUUUUAAUAUAAUUUUAGAAAUAUAUUUAUUUGGUAAAUAAUAAUAAUUUCUGGAAUUAUAUUUUUGUUGGGGCGACAUUAGGAUUGGUAAAACUCCUAUAAAUUAAUAUUUACUAAUUUGUAUAUUUUAGAUCCUAUAUUAAGGAUUAUUAGAUUAAAUUACCUUAGGGAUAACAGCGUAAUUUUUUUGGA
Molecule: ribosomal RNA, 383 nt
Filed under: Podisus nigrispinus
Lineage: Eukaryota; Metazoa; Arthropoda; Insecta; Hemiptera; Pentatomidae
Description: partial large subunit ribosomal RNA
Source: RNAcentral